AGCGAACGCUGGCGGCAUGCCUAAUACAUGCAAGUCGAGCGAACUUUCCGGGGUUCUUGGCCUCCGGGUGAGUAACGCGUGGGAACGUGGCAAUAGGUUCGGAAUAUCUCCAUAAAUCUUGUGCUAAUAUCGAAUGUGCCCUCUGGUGGAAAGCUCUCUAGCCUUUAGCGCGGCCGGCGACUGAUUAGCGAGUUGGUUUAGGUAAUGGCACACUAAGGCGAGGAUCUGUAGUUGGUCAGAGAGGAUGGUCCGCCACACUCGGGCGUGGACACGGUACAAACUCUUACGGGAUGCAGCAGUGGGGGAUGGAGCGAAAUGGGCGAAGUCAUGACGCAGCCAUGCCGGGUGAAUGAUGAAGGUAGUAGGAUUGUAAAAUUCUUUCAACGGGGCCGGUCAUGACGGUACCCGGGGAGAAAGCCCCGGCUAACUUCGUG
Molecule: ribosomal RNA, 434 nt
Filed under: uncultured bacterium
Lineage: Bacteria
Description: partial 16S ribosomal RNA
Rfam family: Bacterial small subunit ribosomal RNA
Source: RNAcentral